GAAGACCUCAGGCGAUUAGAUUUGACACGUCAAAAUAAAACUUCAAACGAUUUUUUUAAAGUGAUAUCUACAAAGAUUUGAAUAUUUUAUUUUUUCUUAUAUGUUUUGCGAGGAUAGAAAAUAAAGAAUCAAUAUGAUAAAGAAAUUCUUGGACGCAAAUGAUCCUGAGAAAUUUAAUUAUACUUUUAGUUUGAAAAAUGGUUGUAUAUUCUUUGCCUUCUUUGGCGCAUUACUAUGGUGCACAGACAUGUUAUUCGACAAGAGGUACAAACUGAUCAUGAUGGUGAACGAGGCUCGUUACAAGAUCCUGUACACCACCGUGUUCUGCAUAUACGCCACUUGUACACUGACCUUUAUUAUACAUCUUAGUGUUAUUUAA
Spodoptera frugiperda (fall armyworm) is the source of this 379-nucleotide long non-coding RNA. RefSeq lists it as uncharacterized. The record is from RefSeq and is a predicted model, not a curated record. NCBI's taxonomy places the organism in Eukaryota, Metazoa, Arthropoda, Insecta, Lepidoptera, Noctuidae. The transcript has 2 exons.